This 253-nucleotide ribosomal RNA is filed under the name uncultured bacterium. Its description in RNAcentral is "partial 16S ribosomal RNA". It matches the Rfam family "Bacterial small subunit ribosomal RNA", at positions 524 to 776 of the family's 1533-position model. The record is from RNAcentral.
UACGAAGGGAGCUAGCGUUGUUCGGAAUCACUGGGCGUAAAGAGCGCGCAGGCGGCUUGGCAAGUCGGGUGUGAAAUCCCGGGGCUCAACCCCGGGACUGCAUUCGAUACUGUCAGGCUAGAGGUAGGUAGGGGAGAUCGGAAUUCCUGGUGUAGCGGUGAAAUGCGCAGAUAUCAGGAGGAACACCGGUGGCGAAGGCGGAUCUCUGGGCCUUACCUGACGCUCAGGCGCGAAAGCUAGGGGAGCGAACAGG